Molecule: long non-coding RNA, 592 nt
Filed under: Homo sapiens (human)
Lineage: Eukaryota; Metazoa; Chordata; Mammalia; Primates; Hominidae
Description: HSALNT0353056
Source: RNAcentral
CCCCUCCUCCGCCAGCCGCGUCCUCCCGGGCUUGGUGAGGAACUGUUCCUGGAGGAGCCGCGGGACGCCAAAACCAGCCAAUGGGAAGCGGCGAUUCGCGGAGAUUGGCACUGAUGAUGGGAAGUUCUUAAAGAUGUUGAAACAGGCCCGGUAUGGUAGCUCACGCCUGUAAACCCAGCACUUUGGGAGGCCGAGGUGGGUAGAUCACAAGGUCAGGAGGUCAAGACCAGCCUGGCCAAGAUGGUGAAACCCCGUCUCUACUAAAACAAAAAUUAGCCAGGCGUGGUAGCGGGCACCUGUAAUCCCAGCUACUCGGGAGGCUGAGGCAGAGAAUUGCUUGAACCUGGGAGGUAGAGGUUGCAGUGAGCCGAGAUUGCAACAUGCACUCCAGCCUGGGCGACAGAGCCAGAUUCCUUCUCAAAAAAAAAAAAAAAAAAAAAAAAGAUAUUGAAACAGCUUGAAGCAAGACCUGUUCUUUCUAGGGUUCUCAGUCUCUUUUGGAGUUAGUUUCGGUGGGCUUUACCAACGGAAGGGAGAGGUAAACAUGGCUGGAGGGUAUGCCUGGCAGUAGAUUUGGGAGAGGGAAUUUCUU